RNAcentral lists this ribosomal RNA (259 nucleotides) under uncultured prokaryote. RNAcentral's name for it is "partial 16S ribosomal RNA". It matches the Rfam family "Bacterial small subunit ribosomal RNA", at positions 524 to 782 of the family's 1533-position model. The record is from RNAcentral.
UACGGAGGAUCCGAGCGUUAUCCGGAUUUAUUGGGUUUAAAGGGUGCGCAGGCGGGAGAUUAAGUCGGUGGUGAAAUUUUGCAGCUCAACUGUAAAAGUGCCAUUGAUACUGGUUUUCUUGAGUGUAGAUGAAGUAGGCGGAAUUUGUGGUGUAGCGGUGAAAUGCAUAGAUAUCACGAGGAACUCCGAUUGCGCAGGCAGCUUACUAAACUAUAACUGACGCUCAGGCACGAAGGCGUGGGGAUCAAACAGGAUUAGA